Molecule: long non-coding RNA, 790 nt
Organism: Canis lupus familiaris (dog)
Lineage: Eukaryota; Metazoa; Chordata; Mammalia; Carnivora; Canidae
Exons: 3
Source: RefSeq, a predicted model, not a curated record
AUUGUCAACUCAGGGCUCACAGCUCAGAUUUAGCAACAUUCUGACAUAAAGGUGAAUGUUUAACCAAAUCCUAUCUUACCAAAGCUAACAGUUCACCUCAGCCUUCUGGAAGACUCCAAUGCAAAAUGGCCACCAUUGGAAAAGAUCCUUCGAAAGAUUAAGUGUCAAUUACUUAAAAAUCCAUUUAAAAAAAUAACCUUUUCUUGGCAUAAUUAAGUAUUACCUGUUUUCUAGAGGCUUUCCUCCUUCCUAUUUAAAACAUACUUCCUAAAGGGAGGAGGGACGUGACCAAGUAAUCAAUUCCUAUCACAUUGGCCUCAGGUAAAUCCUUCAACGCCAUCAGAGAAGCAUAUCCAAUCAGAUUAGAUUUCUCAUCCUCGGCCAAGAAUUCCAUUCAGCUCUUUAAUAAUUCAAGGCAAAAUUCCCUCCAUUUGGUCCAUACCUGAACUUCAUCAGCAUCUUGAACUGGACUGAGCCUGAGGAAGGUGAGAAGAACAACGAUUCCUUGCUCUAGGGGAAGCAGGCUGCCAUGUUGUGAGCUGCUUUAUGGAGAGACCCACUUGGCAAGGAAUAGACAUCUUAAGCUAUUAGCCAACAAGGAUCUGAGGCCUGCCAACAGCCACAUGAGCAAGUUUGAAAGUGAAGCCUCCCACAUCAUACCUCAGGAAGACUCCAGCUCUAUCCAACAUCUUGAUGGCAACCCUAUGGGAGACCAGGAGCCAGAGGCAUCCAGCACACACCCAGCAUGGAGCCCAACGUGGGGCUUGAACUCAUGACCCUGAGAUUGAAA